CCUACGGGAGGCAGCAGUGAGGAAUAUUGGUCAAUGGACGCGAGUCUGAACCAGCCAAGUAGCGUGAAGGAUGACUGCCCUCUGGGUUUUAAACUUCUUUUAUAUGGGAAUAAAACAGGGUAUGCAUACCCUCUUGUAUUUACCUUAUGAAUAAGAAUCGGCUAACGACGUGCCAGCAGCCGCGGUAAUACGGAGGAUGCGAGCGUUAUCCGGAUUUACUGGGUUUAAAGGGAGCGUAGGUGGAUUGUUAAGUCAGUUGUGAAAGUUUGCGGCUUAACCGUAAAAUUGCAGUUGAAACUGGCAGGCUUGAGUACAGUAGAGGUGGGCAGAAUUCGUGGUGUAGCGGUGAAAUGCGUAGAGAUCACGAAGAACUCCGAUUGCGAAGGCAGCUCACUGGACUGCAACUGACACUGAUGCGCGAAAGUGUGGGGAGCAAACAGGAUUAGAUACCCGUGUAGUC
Molecule: ribosomal RNA, 460 nt
Filed under: uncultured bacterium
Lineage: Bacteria
Description: partial 16S ribosomal RNA
Rfam family: Bacterial small subunit ribosomal RNA
Source: RNAcentral